GACCAGACUCCUACGGGAGGCAGCAGUGGGGAAUAUUGCACAAUGGGGGAAACCCUGAUGCAGCGACGCCGCGUGAGUGAAGAAGUAUUUCGGUAUGUAAAGCUCUAUCAGCAGGGAAGAAAAUGACGGUACCUGACUAAGAAGCCCCGGCUAACUACGUGCCAGCAGCCGCGGUAAUACGUAGGUGGCAAGCGUUGUCCGGAUUUACUGGGUGUAAAGGGCGUGUAGGCGGAGCUGCAAGUCAGAUGUGAAAUCCCGGGGCUCAACCCCGGAACUGCAUUUGAAACUGUAGCCCUUGAGUAUCGGAGAGGCAGGCGGAAUUCCUAGUGUAGCGGUGAAAUGCGUAGAUAUUAGGAGGAACACCAGUGGCGAAGGCGGCCUGCUGGACGACAACUGACGCUGAGGCGCGAAAGCGUGGGGAGCAAACAGGAUUAGAUACCCCGGUA
Molecule: ribosomal RNA, 446 nt
Filed under: uncultured bacterium
Lineage: Bacteria
Description: bacterial SSU rRNA
Rfam family: Bacterial small subunit ribosomal RNA
Source: RNAcentral